AGGGCAAGUCUGGUGCCAGCAGCCGCGGUAAUUCCAGCUCCAAUAGCGUAUAUUAAAGUUGUUGCAGUUAAAAAGCUCGUAGUUGAAUUUCGGGGUUCUACCGUUGGUCGGGCUAUUGUCUGUACUGGCGUGUAGAAUUUCUACCUUCUGGAGAACUAUCAUGUUAUUAAUUUAGCGUGGUAGGAAACCAGGACCUUUACCUUGAAAAAAUUAGAGUGUUCAAAGCAGGCUUAUGUCUGAAUACAUUAGCAUGGAAUAAUAAAAUAGGACGGUGGUCCUGUUUUGUUGGUUUCUGAAUCACCGUAAUGAUUAAUAGGGAUAGUUGGGGGCAUUAGUAUUCAAUUGUCAGAGGUGAAAUUCUUGGAUUUAUUGAAGACUAACUACUGCGAAAGCAUUUGCCAAGGAUGUUUUCAUUAAUCAAGAACGAAAGUUAGGGGAUCGAAGACGAUCAGAUACCGUCGUAGUCUUAACCAUAAACUAUGCCGACUAGGGAUCGGACGAUGUUAACUUUUCUUGACUCGUUCGGCGCCUUACGGGAA
RNAcentral lists this ribosomal RNA (539 nucleotides) under uncultured Glomeromycotina. RNAcentral describes it as "SSU rRNA". It matches the Rfam family "Eukaryotic small subunit ribosomal RNA", at positions 552 to 1096 of the family's 1831-position model. Lineage: Eukaryota; Fungi; Glomeromycota. The record is from RNAcentral.